Molecule: ribosomal RNA, 460 nt
Filed under: uncultured bacterium
Lineage: Bacteria
Description: partial 16S ribosomal RNA
Rfam family: Bacterial small subunit ribosomal RNA
Source: RNAcentral
CCUACGGGGGGCUGCAGUGAGGAAUAUUGGUCAAUGGACGGGAGUCUGAACCAGCCAAGUAGCGUGAAGGAUGACUGCUCUAUGGGUUGUAAACUUCUUUUAUAUGGGAAUAAAACAGGGUAUGCAUACCCUCUUGUAUGUACCAUAUGAAUAAGGAUCGGCUAACUCAGCGCCAGCAGCCGCGGUAAUACGGAGGAUCCGAGCGUUAUCCGGAUUUAGUGGGUUUAAAGGGAGCGUAGGUGGAUUGUUAAGUCAGUUGUGAAAGUUUGCGGCUCAACCGUAAAAUUGCAGUUGAAACUGGCAGGCUUGAGUACAGUAGAGGUGAGCGGAAUUCGUGGUGUAGCGGUGAAAUGCGUAGAUAUCACGAAGAACUCCGAUUGCGAAGGCAGCUCACUGGACUGCAACUGACACUGAUGCUCGAAAGUGUGGGUAUCAAACAGGAUUAGAUACCCGAGUAGUC